UAAACUUUCUGGUUUUCUUCCAAAGUUUUAUUUAUUGAUUUUUGUUUUCAAGUUUCUUUUUGUUGUUGGACAACAUAAAAUAAAAUGCGAAGGUUUGGCGAAGGCG
Molecule: non-coding RNA, 106 nt
Filed under: Paramoeba aestuarina
Lineage: Eukaryota; Discosea; Flabellinia; Dactylopodida; Paramoebidae
Source: RNAcentral